This 428-nucleotide ribosomal RNA is filed under the name uncultured bacterium. Its description in RNAcentral is "partial 16S ribosomal RNA". It matches the Rfam family "Bacterial small subunit ribosomal RNA", at positions 354 to 796 of the family's 1533-position model. The record is from RNAcentral.
GUGGGGAAUAUUGGUCAAUGGGGGAAACCCUGAACCAGCAACGCCGCGUGAAGGAAGAAGGCUUUCGGGUUGUAAACUUCUUUGACAGGGGACGAAAGCAAUGACGGUACCCUGAAAACAAGCCACGGCUAACUACGUGCCAGCAGCCGCGGUAAUACGUAGGUGGCGAGCGUUGUCCGGAUUUACUGGGUGUAAAGGGCGUGUAGGCGGGGCGGUAAGUCAGAUGUGAAAUGUAGGGGCUCAACCACUGAAUUGCAUUUGAAACUAUCGUUCUUGAGUGAUGGAGAGGCAGGCGGAAUUCCGUGUGUAGCGGUGAAAUGCGUAGAUAUACGGAGGAACACCAGUGGCGAAGGCGGCCUGCUGGACAUUAACUGACGCUAAAGCUCGAAAGUGCGGGUAUCGAACAGGAUUAGAUACCCGGGUAGUCC